Dreissena polymorpha is the source of this 8285-nucleotide RNA transcript. It is a transcript of the gene named guanine nucleotide exchange factor DBS-like, with no coding region annotated. NCBI's taxonomy places the organism in Eukaryota, Metazoa, Mollusca, Bivalvia, Myida, Dreissenidae. The transcript has 25 exons. The record is from RefSeq and is a predicted model, not a curated record.
AGUGAAUUGAGUGUAUUGGAAGACAGUUUGUGUUAGGAUCUGUACUGCUUAUAGAUAACAGUAGGAGUGUGUGUAUGAAAUGUGAUAAAUGAGAUAAAUCAACAAGGAAUUAAAAGUGUUGUUUGUAAUGUUGGUUACUUAGACUGGUCUACAGUGAUGUGAAUUGGGCUGUCUGUAUAUGUUGUCAUCAGUACCUUUUUCACUAUUUCUUUGGAAUAAUGUCAUUUUGCACAUGAAUUGGGAAAUGUAAAACUACGAGAAAACAGGGACAUUUAAAACAAUAAGCAAGCAGUGACAAUUUACACACCAAACAAACAGGAAAACUAGACACAACAAGCAAACAAGGACACUUGGAACAACAAGCAAAUAGAGACACUUGACACAACAAGCAGAAGGGAGAUUUGAAAUACAUUAGAGACAAUUUAAACGACAUGCAAUCAGAGACACAUAUGCAAUUGAAACAACAAACACUUGAAACAUAAAGAACACAAUCAUGAACAUUUGAAACAACAAACAAACAGAGACACUUGACACAACAAACAUGCAGGGACACUUGACACAACAAAAAAACAGGUACACUUGACACAACAAGCAUACAGGAAUAUUGAAACAACAAGCAAACAUGGACACUGGAAAGGACAAGCAAACCGAGACAAUUGACACAACAAGCAAACAGGAAAAUAUGAAACAACACACAAAAGACAACUGAAAUGACAUGCAAACAGGAACACUUGACACACACUUAAAACAACAAGCAAACAGAGAUACUUGAAGCAACAAGCAAACAGGUACAUUUGAAAGAACAUUUUGCGAGCAUAGAAGUGGGUGAUGUCUUCAUUGGACACUGUGCGUGAUUGUGCUGAAGCAGAAUGCAUUUACAAAAUAUGGGCAUAUCAUUCAGGAGAUGGUAUGGGUAUGGAAACAUGUCCGUACAGCGUCCUCGAUGUGGCCCAGCUGCUGCAGACCAAGUUUGCCUUCAUCUCAGGUGCAAAGGCGAAAAACGGAGCCCCUGUUUUGACGUUCCCGGAUCGACCCAACCUCCCGGAACCGAGUGAUGAGGAGUACAGAAAGGUCGUCACCUACCUAUGCAGCAUUCCCCCGAUGCACGAGACCCAGAUGGGGUUUGUUCUGCUGGUGGAUCGUCGUCACAGUGGCUGGAGCUCAGUGCGCACCACGCUCAUGAAAUUGUCCGGAUACUUCCCCUGCCACAUUCAAGUGGUGUUCCUGCUCCAACCCCAUGGCUUCUUUCAGCGUGCAUUCUCUGACUACAGGUCAAAGUUCAAAGAGGACCUGGAGUACAAGGUGGUCUCAAUGGACACCCCAGAGGAGAUGUUUGACUGGGUGGACGCGGAGAUGGUGACCACAGACAUGGGCGGGCAACUGGAGUUUGAUGCCAACGAGUGGACACAGAACAGAUCUGCCGUAGAAAAAUUCAGUUGCAAUACGGAGAAGAUUGCUGUGAAUUUGACAAAUUUGAUACGAAAGAUGGAUAUAGCCUGCACACCAAAUGAUGUCCAGGGGACAGAAAAACAGAUCAAAGAGCACAUUGCCCAGAGAAACGAGCUUCUAGAGGACCUGGAGUCUUCCACCGGUCAUGGACAGACCCUGCUUGAAUGCAUCAAGGGGGACAACCCUAGAACUCCCAUGGUUCAACUUUCCCAUGUCCUAGAUGUGGAAAGACUGAUCAUCCAACUUGAGGAGACCAAGAGGAAGUUUGAGGAAUAUUGGGAGAGCCACUACAGAAAACUGCAACAGUCGCUACAGCUCCGAAUGUUUGAGGAGGAAUUUAAGGCAUUUCAGAUCAUGUUUGAGAGGGACCUGAGUCUGCUGGAGACUCAGAUGAAGGAGAUAGGAGAUAGUGUGAAGGCUGUGGAAGCCUUGAUAGCCGAGUUUGAUGUAUAUGAAGAGGAAAAAAAGCAAGAUAUUGAGAGAGGCGAAAAAAUGAGAGGGGACGGGGAACAGUACAUAAUGGACGACCACUAUGCAGUAGACAGCAUUCGCCCGAAAUGCAUCGAACUGCAGCGUAUGUGCGAACAGUAUCGACAGUUGCUACGACAACGACGCGAGAUUCUCAACAAAUCUCAAGAGCUUCAAGAAAGAAUCGAGAAGGCCAACAAAUGGUGCAUGGAUGGUGUUGACAUGUUGACCAAUCUCAAGCUGCAGAGUUGCCAGGGUAACGAGGAGGUCACUAGGGCGGUCAAGGACAUUGAUGCAUUUGUUUUCUCUGCUAAGCAGCUUCAGCUCAACAACCCAAAAGAGUUCAGACAGUUGUUCGACACUGUGAUGACUUCAGAGACGAGGACAGCUGUUCAAAAGGUCCUCAAAAAAGUAGAAGACGUGCAGAUGAUGUGCGCGAAGAGAAGGGAGGAGCUUCUCUCCCAGACCGCCACUUCCCGUCCCGUCCAACACCCGGUCCAACCCGACCUAGUGACCGCAUCGUCCCGUGGGCAGACAACCGUUCCAGAGUACAAUCUCAAAGGCAAGAGUGCUGGGCACCAGCGGAGAGCUGGGAAACAGGGCCAGCAGCCUCAGACUGCGGCACCGCAGGUUGAGAAAUCAGCAAGGAUACGCACAGAUGCUGCUCUACCCCAGCCACACCAUAAAGGUCAGGGUCAUGGUGGAAGGUCAAGGUCAAACCAGGGGUCAACCAGUACCAGUAGCAGCCUGUCCACCACAGACAGCACUGAUGUUGCACGCACACUCAUGCAAUCAUCAGAAGGCCCUGCACACCAGAUUCCCGCAGAAAGGACCCGUAGUUCCGUGGCCUCUGUUUCGACUACCUCGGGAUCUAGCGGUAUUUCUGAACAGAUGCUGGAAAGCUUGCAUGAGAAAAGACAGCAUGUUAUGAAGGAACUUAUCGACACUGAAAAGACAUACGUUCAACAGCUUCAUGAUAUACUACGCGGCUAUUACUGUGAGAUGGACAAUCGCACUAUGCAACACUUGAUACCUGAUGAGCUGGUCAACAACAAGGAUGUGCUGUUUGGAAAUCUAGAACAGAUCUACAAGUUCCAUCAUGAUGAGUUUCUGAAAGAUCUUCAAAGUUGUGCCGAUUGUCCAACAAAGCUGGGAAAAUGUUUCGUGAACAGAAAGGACAUGUUCCAGAUGUACAGCAUAUACUGCCAGAACAAACCCCGUUCAGAGGAGCUGCGUACACAGAUAGGGGACAACAACCCUUUCUUCAAGGAGUGUCAGAGGAAGCUGGACCACAAACUGCCACUAGGGGCAUAUCUUCUGAAGCCAGUGCAGCGUAUUACGAAAUACCAGUUACUAUUAAAGGAGAUGCUAAAGUACACAAAGGACAACAAAACCUGUCAGGAUCAGCUGGAGGAAGCCCUGAACACCAUGCUGGAGGUGGUACGCAUCGUCAACAACAGCAUGUACCAUGUCGCCAUUGUGGGCUUCCCAGGUAACCUAUCAGACCUGGGCAAGCUGCUGAUGCAGGGCAGCUUCAGUGUAUGGACAGAACACAAGCAUGAGAAGAUUCGCGACAUUCGUUUCAAAGCCAUGCAGCGUCACGUGUUCCUUUACGAGAAGGCCAUCCUGCUGUGCAAACAGAAGGAAGACGUGCACGGAGACAGCAGAGACGCGUACUGCUACAAGAACAUGCUACGGUGUAACCAGGUAGGAUUAACAGAGAACAUCAAAGGAGACAAGAAGAAGUUUGAGCUCUGGUUGAGAGGUCGUGAGGAAGUGUACAUUGUACAGGCCAGAAGUCUGGAAGUGAAGGACUACUGGGUGAAAGAAAUCAAAAAGGUCCUCAUGGGACAGUUUGAUGAAAUCAAAUUAAAUAAGCUGAAUCUCAUUCAACACUCGUCGGAGGACCUCACCACCCGGUCAGGCAGCGACAGUGGGAUGGAGAGCUGGCGGAACCGGCAGGGCUCGGGGGGCAACCCGACCUCCACUGUGCCCGUGGGCCUGGCCAUGAUGAGCCCUGAGAGUCCCCCCGAGUCACGGGAGAAUGGAGACAGGUGGUCCGACGUGGAGUACACGGACUCGGAGCCUGAGACUGAGAGGAAGGCCGCGCAGCAUGUGUCACCUUUGGAGCCAACGUACCUACAGCAGUUUGUCGCCAUUGCCGACUACGUUGCCGUUGACGACGUGGAAAUGAGUUUGCAUGAGGGUGAUGUGGUCGAGAUCCUGCGCACAGGUAGCACAGGUUGGUGGCUCGCGCAUCACAUGACCACCAACGAGGAAGGCUGGGUACCAUCUACCUACCUCGACCCGAUUGCCAACGCAGGGUCAAGAUCGAUGGCCUCGGUUUCCAGUAUAGGUUCUGGAAGUCAGGCGGACCAAACCAGUCAUUCCAGUGGAUAUAGUGCAACCAGUCCAGUGGAUGAAAGCGCCAUUUAAAAGCCAUUCAACAAGACUUACAGCAAAUCUUCCAGGUCGUCACAUAAUGCAGCCUCAGUCGUGGAGAGACCUCAUAAACUGUGAAAAAAACACAUACUACAGCCAAUGUUAAGCUUUACGAUGGUCUAUUACCGAGCGCUGCUGGCACUAAGCUCUAUGUAGCAUAUUACUCAUUUGUAACCAGUCCAAUUGAUAAGAGCAACAUUUAAGACCCAGUGUAGGUACAUGCUUCAUUUGGAGCCCUAGGAGCUUUGAUCACAAAAUUGUGCUUGGUAAAAUUGUAUGGUCUGAUAUUGAUGAUUUAUACAGGACAUGUCAUGUCUGGGACAGUGCUUGAUAGAAAGAGUGAAUAUUUGUCAAAGUUCAAGGUCAAAUAGUUGAAGAAUUCUAUCCUGAGUUGUUUGAAAACAGCAUUUUAAUUGCGCAUAAGGUACAGAUCUUUAGAUACCUUGGUUUAAUUGUUGACCAUGGCGAAACAGUGUUUUGCAGAAAAACCAGUCCACUGACCCAAGGUCGAUUUCAAGAUCAAAGGUCAAGAAAUAAAUACUUAGUCAUACUUUGCUGUACUGUGUGUGCUAGUAUAUGUUUGAGACUAUGGAAUUCUGUUUUUGAAUUCCUACUUAAAAUAAGUGAAUAUUUUACAAUGCAAGAUUGCAUUUUUGUAAAUCUAAUAAAAGAUUUGUAGAAUAAUUCACUGUAUAUUUUUAAGUUCAAAUUUAUAAUUCAAAAUUCAUUUAGUUCAAUGUAUUCCAUCUUUUUUUUAUAUACAUUUUGUAAACUUGUAUGUAAAUCCAUCAAAUACAUUCCAAAAAGUAAUCUAAUUUUAGAUUCCAUUAUGUUUUUAAACAAGAUAUAUUUUUAAAUUACAAACUAUUUUCUUUUUAUGCAUGUUUAAAUUUCAUUCCAGUUCGAAAUAUCAUUCCAGUCUUUAAGAGUAUUUUAAGCAUGCAUGAAAAGAUUGCUUAAACAAAAGGCACUUUAAUAAUUGCUAUAUGAAUGUUAAGGAAUAUUUUAUAAAUUGGUCACAUGUGCAAUAUGUAUACAAAUAUGUACUUAUAAGUGUAAAUAAGUAUUUGUGAUUUUUAAAUCCCGAUUUACAAUUUUAAGAAUUGUGUAUGAAUUGAUUUUCAGCUAACAAUUUUUAUAUUUUUUAAUCCCACAGAGAGUGGGUGGCAUUAUUGCACUUGUUCAUUCACAUGUAUGUCCCAAAGCUUGUGUUUUGAACUCCUGUUUAAAAACUGGGUAGAUCACACUCAAACCUUCACAGUUGAAUGUUCUUAAUAUGAAGAUGACUUGUAAAAAAGGAAUUUUACCUUCACUUUAACUGCAGGUUUAAUCUAGCCCAAACUUUCACAUAUGAAUUACCUUCAUGUGUAGAUGAAUGUAAAUAAAGGAAAAAUGACCCCUAUUGAUUUUGAGGUCACUAGUUUUUUUUUCACUGCGCCCAGUUUUGAUUGAAUUAUGGCCAUGUUCAUGUACUGAAGAAUAUACAGUGGAUUUGUCUUGUGUCCAUUCAUGUCCUACAUAUUUCAGCUCAAUUGCAUAGAAAGCCCAAGGCUUAUUUGAAACACUCUUAAGUUAUUUUCCUUGGACUAGAACCAGUACUUGGGUGUCUAUUGGGUACAUCUAAAGAACGCUACCACAGUGGGUAUGGAACCUGUAACCCGCUAGGCGGACACCAUAUCCACUGCCACCUUUUGUCCAUUGUAGUAUAUAAUUGUGGAUUUGUUAGUGUCCAAACAUGUGUCGUUGGGACAUCAGUGUCUGUGAUACAUGUCUAGUUGUAUCUGUUAUGUCUUUAUAAAGUAUGUUUAGUUAAGUAUCUAUAAGUAAAUGGGCCAGGUUUCUAUAUCAAGUGUAUCAGUUGUUGAAAGCAGAGUGUUGUAGUACUAAUACAUUCCUGUGUGAGAUAAAAUCUUGUGCUUUUAACUUUGAUUAGCUCUAGUCAUUUUAUAAGAGUAUCACAAUUUGAAUCUUGUUAAAAUAAUUAUCUAAACUGUAACCAAUUGCACUACCGGUUUGUGUGCAAAUCAAGGAGUUCUAAGGCGUGAAAUUUAUUAUAUUUUAUGUAACCUUUUGUCUUCUUUGUAUAUUUGUUAAGGCAUUUAUAAAUCAAUUAUGUAAAACAAGAGGACAAUAUUUGUGCGCUUAACAAUUUGAAAUGUUUCCGGUCUGCUUUAUUUGUUCUAGUUAUUUACAUAAUAUACAUACAUCAGUUCAUAUUUUAUUAAAAUGCAUUCAGUUUAUUGUGGAAAUCCCUCUAUUGAACAUUUGAAAAAGAAAUAGAAGAUUAUAAGUUUUAUCAGUUAAGAAAAAAGACCAAUUACUUUUUUGUAUCACUUUCAUGUAAUAUGGUGGUUUUAUCAGUUUUUUAUUCUCCAGUUAUUUUGAAGUACUAUAGUUUUAUUUAUCUUUGGUGAAAUGAAGUUUGAUGGAUUCAUAAAAUCUUUUAUUUCAUUAUGCUCUUAAAUACAUGUAUUAUUUGUAUUAUCUGAUAUUAAACCUCGUACUUCAAAAUUCAUUGGACAUUUGAUUUCGUGUCAAAGGGGACCCCGGAAAGAAUAAUGUAUGAUGAAUAAUAUUGGUUUUCAUCUGAGUUUAUAUUGCUUGGUCCAGUGUCAAAUUAAAUAACAAGAAUUGUCAGGAUUAUAUGAAUUAGGUACAGUAUUGGUAUUCACUAUAAAAUCUUAAAAUAAGGCAAUACAGACAGGUGUCCUUAAUAAGGCAAUACAGACAGGUGUCCUUAAUAAGGCAAUACAGACAGGUGUCCUUUACUUUUGUUUAAUCUGUAAUGCACAUUCGUGUAUACAAUAUAUGUUUUUGUUCAUUGUUAAGUCUACUGCCUUUGAUAUAGAAUAUGCAAUACAAAUUUAUGAUAUUGUUAUGGGUAGUGUGAACUUGUAAGUUGUGUAUACUUUUAAAGUUGUUGUUGAUUUUACAAAGUCUAGAUAUAAGAUAAUGAUUUAAGGCAUAUAAGUGAUAACACAGUGUUUGUUGAUGUUGUUGUUGUAAAUGUUGUUGCGUUUAUUAUGUGGAAACAGUGUUGUGACUUAGACGCUCACACUUCUACUAAAAAAAUGUUGUAUUUCAAAAACUAGUUUUAACUAGGAUCCCCCCACCCCACCCUGUCACCAAAAAGAUACUAAUGUGCGCAAACAGUACAGUGAUUUAAUUUACACCAGGUCUUCAAGAAAUUGUCAAUGUUUGCAUUAUAAAUACUAGAAUUUAACUAUUAUUAUGAAAGUUAGUUAGUUGUUUGUCCCUUUGCUGGUAGGGCAGUUGUCAGUUACUGGUAUCAGAUGUGCACUCAGCAAUGGUAACCCAGUAAUCUCACAAAAUGUAAUAUAUGAGCUGUCCUCUGUAUAAAAAAGGUUUAUUUCAUGUGCAUACAGUGUCGUCCCAGAUUACCCUGUGCAGUCCGCAUAGUCUAAUCAGGGACGCAGUUUUUCACUUUUAUGAUAUUUUUUGUCUAAAGUCUGUUAUGAGCAAAAAUCCAGUUAAGGUGGAAAGUGUUUAGACUUCAAAGGCUAAUCUGGGACGACACUUUACGGACAUACAUUAAACCCCCUUUUCACAGACCACAGCUCAUAUAGAUUAUUUUUACUGACUUGUCAUUUUACUGACACUUUUUAUUUCCCUUUUUUAAAUAACAUUAAAAAUAAUCAAUUAGUUGUUAAUAACAAUAUCAAGCUUUUAAAAGUACCAAACUAUAUAAACUCAAUACAUGUGUAAAUAUUGUAAAUAUAUGUUGCUAUUUGUCUAUGUUGACAAGAGUUAAGACUUUGUCAUUUUAAAUCACGUAUAGUGAUGUAAUGUGUCCCUGUUUACUCUAGCUGCUAUUUAUUGUUAAGACCUGAAUUAUUUAUUGUUUACUUUUGUUUUCGUUGCAUUUAUUUAUUGAAUGACCAGUGAAUAAACUACGUUAACUAUAA